This 21-nucleotide non-coding RNA is filed under the name Caenorhabditis elegans. The record is from RNAcentral. Lineage: Eukaryota; Metazoa; Nematoda; Chromadorea; Rhabditida; Rhabditidae.
UGUGGAUAUACAGAAAGAUAU